RNAcentral lists this ribosomal RNA (497 nucleotides) under uncultured bacterium. RNAcentral's name for it is "partial 16S ribosomal RNA". It matches the Rfam family "Bacterial small subunit ribosomal RNA", at positions 28 to 507 of the family's 1533-position model. The record is from RNAcentral.
GAGGAACGCGGGCGGCGUGCCUAAUACAUGCAAGUCGAGCGAACAGACGAGGAGCUUGCUCCUCUGAUGUUAGCGGCGGACGGGUGAGUAACACGUGGAUAACCUACCUAUAAGACUGGGAUAACUUCGGGAAACCGGAGCUAAUACCGGAUAACAUGUUGAACCGCAUGGUUCAACAGUGAAAGACGGUCUUGCUGUCACUUAUAGAUGGAUCCGCGCCGCAUUAGCUAGUUGGUAAGGUAACGGCUUACCAAGGCAACGAUGCGUAGCCGACCUGAGAGGGUGAUCGGCCACACUGGAACUGAGACACGGUCCAGACUCCUACGGGAGGCAGCAGUAGGGAAUCUUCCGCAAUGGGCGAAAGCCUGACGGAGCAACGCCGCGUGAGUGAAGAAGGUCUUCGGAUCGUAAAACUCUGUUAUUAGGGAAGAACAAAUGUGUAAGUAACUAUGCACGUCUUGACGGUACCUAAUCAGAAAGCCACGGCUAACUACGUA